CUUUUAUUCUUUAUUCAGAUUGGAUAUCUGCAGUUUUUCAGAGACCAGCUGGACGUCUCUGUUCUCAGCUCUGAAGUCCAAACCGACCCAUCUGACAGAACUGGAGAUUAGAGAAACCAACCUGGGAGAUUCUGGAGUGAAGAAGCUCUGUGGUUUUCUACAGACUGAAGGCUGCAGACUGGAGAAUCUGGAAUUGUUCAGCUGCAGUUUGUCAAAGAUCAGCUGUGAUUUUCUGGCCUCAGCUCUGAAGUCCAACAGCCUCCAUCUGACAAAACUGAACCUGA
Molecule: long non-coding RNA, 284 nt
Organism: Poecilia latipinna (sailfin molly)
Lineage: Eukaryota; Metazoa; Chordata; Actinopteri; Cyprinodontiformes; Poeciliidae
Exons: 2
Source: RefSeq, a predicted model, not a curated record